UGGGGAAUUUUGGACAAUGGGCGAAAGCCUGAUCCAGCCAUGCCGCGUGAGUGAAGAAGGCCUUCGGGUUGUAAAGCUCUUUCGCAAGGAAAGAAAACUUACAUAUUAAUACUAUGUGAGGAUGACGGUACCUUGAUAAGAAGCACCGGCUAACUACGUGCCAGCAGCCGCGGUAAUACGUAGGGUGCAAGCGUUAAUCGGAAUUACUGGGCGUAAAGCGAGCGCAGGCGGUUUUGUAAGUCAGAUGUGAAAGCCCCGGGCUCAACCUGGGAACUGCGUUUGAAACUACAAGGCUAGAGUAUGGGAGAGGGAGGUAGAAUUCCACGUGUAGCAGUGAAAUGCGUAGAGAUGUGGAGGAAUACCAAUGGCGAAGGCAGCCUCCUGGCCUAAUACUGACGCUCAUGCUCGAAAGCGUGGGGAGCAAACAGG
RNAcentral lists this ribosomal RNA (429 nucleotides) under uncultured bacterium. Its description in RNAcentral is "bacterial SSU rRNA". It matches the Rfam family "Bacterial small subunit ribosomal RNA", at positions 355 to 776 of the family's 1533-position model. The record is from RNAcentral.